GAAAUGCGAUACGUAAUGUGAAUUGCAGAAUUUAGUGAAUCAUCGAAUCUUUGAACGCACAUUGCGCCCCUCGGUAUUCCGGGGGGCAUGCCUGUUCGAGCGUCAUUGUCACCAUUCAAGCCCUGCUUGGUCUUGAGCACCGCCGGCCAGGCGUGCUCCAAAUCGAGUGGUGGUGCCCACGGGAACCCGAGCGUAGUACAACCUCUCGCUCCGGGGCCCCGGGGGCUCCCCCCCAGCAAAACACUCAUCUGGUUGACCUCGGAUCAGGUAGGAUUACCCGCUGAACUUAA
RNAcentral lists this unclassified non-coding RNA (290 nucleotides) under uncultured Cladosporium. RNAcentral describes it as "sequence contains ITS1". The stretch from base 1 to 105 matches the Rfam family "5.8S ribosomal RNA", at positions 50 to 154 of the family's 154-position model. The record is from RNAcentral. Lineage: Eukaryota; Fungi; Ascomycota; Dothideomycetes; Cladosporiales; Cladosporiaceae.